UACUCAAUGAGUGGCCUUGUCAGCCUUUCU
Molecule: non-coding RNA, 30 nt
Filed under: Mus musculus (house mouse)
Lineage: Eukaryota; Metazoa; Chordata; Mammalia; Rodentia; Muridae
Source: RNAcentral